Molecule: long non-coding RNA, 770 nt
Filed under: Physcomitrium patens
Lineage: Eukaryota; Viridiplantae; Streptophyta; Bryopsida; Funariales; Funariaceae
Description: long non-coding RNA (PPAT_LNC000417)
Source: RNAcentral
AAAGAGUGACAAUAUGUACUAAUUUAACACCUCAACUUUGAACACCUAUAUCUCUUUCACAAAAAAUUGAAAUCACACAAACUCUUCAUUCAAAUUAUAUCCUAAACCCUGAAUUUGUUGAUCCUAGCCUCCAAAGCUCGAAUGUAUCCGAAAGUGAAACCCUAAUCCCUAAUAAGGCCUUAGGUAGCCUCCUUGAAGCCCAUUGGGCGUGACAUUCAACCAAUAGGGAUGAAGGUCUUCACCCCUUGCCUUCAUCCAACCAUACCUUGCUUUCAUCUUUUCCAAUAAGCCUCAUAAUAGUUUUGACUUUCAUCUUUAAACUCCAACCUUCUCUUAAGCUUUAUAUUAAAUAUCUAAAUCUUACAUAAUAUAAAUACUAUAAUAAAAAUAGAUAAAUCUAUAAAUAAAUUUCUUUAUAUUAAUUCUCUUUAGAUUUAUUUAAUAACCACUCUAAUCUAUAUUAAGACUUACAAACAUAUUAUAUGUCUUAAUUAAUUUUUAUAUACUAUAAGUAAUUACAAUACGACACUGUGACAUAGAGCUACACUCCAACAUUGUAAAAACUAUACCUUUAUUGCCAUUUUAUGAUUAAUUUUGUCCAUCUCUAUUCUUGUUUUUAGUCCCAUAUCAUUGUUUUCUUCUCUUGUUUGAUGUUCUUUGUCUUAAAUCUCUCCAUCUAUGUUCUUCAUUUCUUGUUCUUCAUCUCUAUUUUCUUUCCUUGUUUUAUGUUUCACAUCGUUCAUUUCCAUCCUCAUUUUCUUCUUUUAUUU